RNAcentral lists this ribosomal RNA (515 nucleotides) under uncultured bacterium. RNAcentral's name for it is "partial 16S ribosomal RNA". It matches the Rfam family "Bacterial small subunit ribosomal RNA", at positions 28 to 523 of the family's 1533-position model. The record is from RNAcentral.
GAUGAACGCUGGCGGCGUGCCUAAUACAUGCAAGUCGAGCGAAUGGAUUAAGAGCUUGCUCUUAUGAAGUUAGCGGCGCACGGGUGAGUAACACGUGGGUAACCUGCCCAUAAUACUGGGAUAACUCCGGGAAACCGGGGCGAAUACCGGAUAACAUUUUGAACCGCAUGGUUCGAAAUUGAAAGGCGGCGUCGGCUCUCACUUAUGGAUGGACCCGCGUCGCAUUAGCUAGUUGGUGAGGUAACGGCUAACCAAGGCAACGAUGCGUAGCCGACCUGAGAGGGUGAUCGGCCACACUGGGACUGAGACACGGCCCAGACUCCUACGGGAGGCAGCAGUAGGGAAUCUUCCGCAAUGGACGAAAGUCUGACGGAGCAACGCCGCGUGAGUGAUGAAGGCUUUCGGGUCGUAAAUCUCUGUUGUUAGGGAAGAACAAGUGCUAGUUGAAUAAGCUGGCACCUUGACGGUACCUAACCAGAAAGCCACGGCUAACUACGUGCCAGCCGCCGCCGUAA